AGAGGGUGCAAACGUUGCUCGGAAUUACUGGGCGUAAAGCGCGUGUAGGCGGACGUGUAAGUCAGGUGUGAAAUCCCCGGGCUCAACCCGGGAACUGCACUUGAAACUGCGCGUCUUGAGUACUGGAGAGGGUAGUGGAAUUCCUGGUGUAGAGGUGAAAUUCGUAGAUAUCAGGAGGAACACCGGUGGCGAAGGCGGCUACCUGGACAGUCACUGACGCUGAGACGCGAAAGCGUGGGGAGCAAACAGGAUUAGAUACCCUGGUAGUCCACGCUGUAAACGAUGGGUGCUAGGUGUCGCGGGUUUUGACCCCUGCGGUGCYKUARMWRACGCGUUAAGCACCCCGCCUGGGGAGUACGGCC
This 362-nucleotide ribosomal RNA is filed under the name uncultured bacterium. RNAcentral's name for it is "bacterial SSU rRNA". It matches the Rfam family "Bacterial small subunit ribosomal RNA", at positions 527 to 887 of the family's 1533-position model. The record is from RNAcentral.